GUAGUGCCUGCUGCUGUCGGUACAUGCACUCCCUGGGGUGUGGGUGAGCACAGGCACUCCGCUGUAGGAGCAUUCCUGGGACAUUUCUGCUGUCCGGUGCAUGUAUACACAUUCACAACAGCAAAUCUCGCUGUGCACAGGAUUGUGGCUGAAGUAAACAGUCAUAUUUCAUGUUCAUUUGACUGCCUGUUCCUGUUGCUGUUUAGCUUUGGCAGGAAAUUCAAAAUAAUAUUCUUUGGAAGCUUCUCCAGCAACGUUUUGCCUGUAAUUCACAACUGUUGGAAAAAAAACACCGGUUUCCAGCUGAACUUCCUUGAAGCCUUUGUGUGGCCUUGGGUGUGUUUGACAGUGGCAUAAACUUUUGGGAGGACAUAAUUUCAUCUUGACACCAGGAUUCUGCGGUCAAGGUAUGCUUAUUUUUGUAUUGGUUAUGUUUUUUUUUUAGAUGCAAAGGCAGCAUCACUUAUGUUCCACUGUUGAACCUCUGUUUUUGUAUGGAACACAUUCCUGUUUUUUUGUAGUUCCUUGUGUUCAGGCUAGGGGCACUCUGAGAAUUUGGUGUAGGUGAAAGAUCUUUUGAAAAGCCUGUGUAUCCAGUUCAAUGAUUUUUGCAGUGCUUUGAACCUCUCCUAAGGCUCACUAGGUGAUUUGCAGAAUGGUUUCUCUAAAACAACUUCCAAAUUCUUCCAAUUCAGUUGGAGACUACUCAUAAUCAAACACCACUAUUGGCUUUAUCAGUUCACAGAUAGUGCUGGCAGGGUUAGUCAUUUGGAAGCAGAUCCUGCCAUCAGUUUUACAGAAAAUAGGCAGCAACUCAUUCAGUAUUGCACUAGUUGAAAACUUUGGCUUUAUAUUAGCUUAAGGACAGUGUGAGAGACAUCAUUACAUGCAGGUUCUUUUUAGCAGUCUCUAGAGGCUUUUUAACUUCUGAAGUCACUCUGUAUAAGCAGUGUUGCAGGGACAGAGAACAGUCCUUGGGCACAGACCAGCGGGGUGAUCACAGGCACAGCAUACCACCCUGUGUGCCUUUGGCUGCCCUUCAGCCUCUGCCUUGUAUUUUUAGCUUGCAGUCUCCUUAGUGGAAGAAUUGUCUCUUCUUGCUAUAUUUGUAGCACGUUGAGCAUAGUGGGUGGAUCAGCAGUUGCGUCCGCUCCUCCUCUGGUCUGUAAUAAGAAAUAAAUAUUCAGAAAUAAUUCCUUAAUUGUCAUUAAUGAAGACUUUGUUUCCUAACAAGUACAUGACAAGGCCUCCUUGUUUAAGGGAAUUUGUUUGAUCUGUUCCUGACAUGGAUGUCUUUGUCACACAACAGGUGCUUCAAAUCACUAAUCUCCUGCAGUCCGAGCUGGUAUUUAUUACUGUUCAAUGUCAGAUCCUCUUGCUUGGCAUAGCAGGGCAUACCACACAACCUGCAAGUUGUGCUGGUGAGAAUAUUUAAUCACAUAUCAGCAGAUUAUCUAUAAUUAGCUCUAUCACAGCUAGAUCCUUUGAGAUCUUCAGUGGGAAGAUAACAUCUACUCCAAGGACUGAAACAACCCUGCAGGGAAGACUGGAGCCCAGCUGCAAAGUAUUGCUGGAAUAGAUUUGAGCUGGUUAAAGCCUUUGAUGAUCAGUCUGAAGUUGUAUAGAGCUUCAUAUUUUGAAGUCCAGCUUUGACUUCCUUGAGCUGUUCCAGUGGGUAAA
This 1680-nucleotide long non-coding RNA is filed under the name Anas zonorhyncha (Eastern spot-billed duck). Its description in RNAcentral is "lncRNA (ENSAZOG00000018287.1)". The record is from RNAcentral. Lineage: Eukaryota; Metazoa; Chordata; Aves; Anseriformes; Anatidae.